RNAcentral lists this ribosomal RNA (914 nucleotides) under Stegana emeiensis. RNAcentral describes it as "eukaryotic LSU rRNA". It matches the Rfam family "Eukaryotic large subunit ribosomal RNA", at positions 72 to 797 of the family's 3401-position model. Lineage: Eukaryota; Metazoa; Arthropoda; Insecta; Diptera; Drosophilidae. The record is from RNAcentral.
GGAUUUUCUUAGUAGCGGCGAGCGAAAAGAAAUCAGUUCAGCACUAAGUCACUUUAUCUUUAUGGUAAAUGUGAGAUGCAGUGUAUGGAACAUCUUCAAUCUAGUAUGAGAAAUUGAUGAUUUAAGUCCUUCUUAAAUGAGGCCAAUUACCCAUAGAGGGUGCCAGGCCCGUAUAACAUUAAUGAUUACUAGAAGGUGAUUCCAAAGAGUCGUGUUGCUUGAUAGUGCAGCACUAAGUUGGUGGUAAACUCCAUCUAAAACUAAAUAUAACCAUGAGACCGAUAGUAAACAAGUACCGUGAGGGAAAGUUGAAAAGAACUCUGAAUAGAGAGUUAAAUAGUACGUGAAACUGCUUAGAGGUUAAGCCCGAUGAACCUGAAUAUCCAUUAUGAAAAAUUCAUCAUUAAAAUUGUAAUAUCUUUAUUGUAAUAUUAUAAUGAUAGUGUGCAUUUUUUUCAUAUAAGGACAUUGUAAUCUAUUAACAUUAAAUAUUUAUUUAUCAAAAAUUUAUAAAUUUCAAGUUUAUUCAAAUUACUAUGCAUUUUUGUAUUUUAACAUAGAAUAAAUAUUUAUAAAUUGAUAAAGUGUUGAUAGACUUAUAUUAUUUAUACGGUGCUUUAAUUUUUCGAAAUUAUAUAAUAGCAUAAUUAUCAAUGAUUUUUAUGUUUAUUAUAUGCACAUGUAUGAUUAACAAUGCGAAAGAUUCAGGAUACCUUCGGGACCCGUCUUGAAACACGGACCAAGGAGUCUAACAUAUAUGCAAGUCAUUGGGAUUUUAUAAACCUAAUGGCAUAAUUAACUUAACUUUUUUAUUAAUUGGGAUUAGUUUUUCAAUUAUAUAUAGUUGAUUAACACAAUCCCGGGGCGUUCUAUAUAGUUAUGUAUAAUAAUAUUUAUAUUAUUUAUACCUCUAA